ACGCGCGCUACCGCUCGAUCCCUUUCUUUGAGAUUCGCGUCGUUCUUUCUUUUUUUGUUUUUCUGCUAUUUUCCUCCGACCGUUUUUGGGCUUGUUUUUGAAAUCCGCGCCCGUCUUGUCUACUUGCCCGCAGAAGUCUCCAGAUAGAGAAAGGUUGUGGGCGGGGGGGAGGCCGCCGCCUCUUUUUUUCGCUCUCACCGUGGUGUUUUAUUUUGUGCGAAUCAGCGGAAGGAGCGAGCGGUGUUGGAUCUGGUCUGGCCCGCGGCCAGCUUUAGGCCUGCUCUGUCGGGGCUGAUUUUGCUCCCACAAAUAGCUGCAGUUCGUGCCUGCAGGUUGCUGAUUUUCGGGCUGAUUUGAGUUUGUUAGGAGAAGACAGGUACGGGAGUCUCCAUCCUUGCUCGUGGAUCUGUUCUGAGGAGCGUUGCGGGCAUCAUGUCUGACAUUGACGCCGGCUGCAAUGAUGACGGUUUUAGUUCAGACUCUAAUUCUAAGUUCUGCGAUUUUGUCCCUUCUAAUUGCCAUGGAGCUGCAAAUGCCGGUGGUCCAGCAGCAGCUGAUGCAGCUGGGUAUUCAUCUGGUGAUGAAACAGACACUGAUUUGAUCAUUGACAACAUAAGCACACUGAUCAAAUCAUGCUUUCGUAAAAAGUGAAAACGUUGCAAUGUUGAAUGUCACUACUUGAAAAGGCAAAAGAGUCAUGAGGCCGAUCAACUGCCUGAUCAUAAAAAGGCUACUAAUAGGGGGAAUCUGGCAUGGCUGUCUCAUAUCAUCAAUAGUAUUCCAUCUGACACGAAACAGAUUAUCUGUGACUAUGGGUUUCCCUUUGUUUUCCAUCUCAAUUCUUCCGGCGCCCCUCAUUCUUUUGCUCAAUGGAUAGCUGAUCACAUCCAACUGGAGAGCUGUGACAUUAUUGUUGAGAGUGGUGUUAUUCAUCUAGGCGCACACAACUUUUCUGAAGUUAUUGGGCUAGAAAAUACGGGGUUGGAUGUGAAAGUUGAUUUUGAGAGUGCAAAGGAGCAAUUUCUAUCACUGAUGGGGUUUUCUGAGCUGCCUACUAUUAAACAUUUUGGCAAGAUGCUCCUCACCAAUGAUCUUGCAGAUGAUAAACAUUUCAUCUGCUUUAUGGUUGUCUUUCUCUCUAUUUUUUGUGUCCUAAUUCAAGUACCUACCCCAGCAUCAAGUACUUGGGGUCUUUGCUUGUUCCUAGUGAUGUGAGGAAUUAUAAUUGGGCAUCAUUUGGUCACAAGUGGUUGAUGCUCCUCACCAAUGAUCUUGCAGAUGAUAACCAUUUCAUCUGCUUUAUGGUUGUCUUUCUCUCUAUUUUUUGUGUCCUAAUUCAAGUACCUACCCCAGCAUCAAGUACUUGGGGUCUUUGCUUGUUCCUAGUGAUGUGAGGAAUUAUAAUUGGGCAUCAUUUGGUCACAAGUGGUUUAUCGAGAGUGUUAGGAAAUACCAAAAGAAUAAGAGUAAAUCAAAAGCUUUGUCUUCAAGGUCAAACCUCACUUUGGGCGGUUGCACAUAUGUCACGGUAGUCAAGUACCUGGAUUUUGCUGAUUUUGGUGAAGUCAAACUUGAUAAUUGUUUCCCUCGGACUUUAGUUUGGAAACAUGAUCUAAUCAAAGAUUUUGCUCGCCUCGACCAAAAGAGUGCUUAUGAGUAUGGCUUAUGGAAUGUGAGAGAUUUAUCUAGGACUUCUUAUGCUUCUGCUUCCACAUCUACCUUUGCCAGCUCAUAUCUGGCUGAGUUUAAGUGUUUGUUGGAGAGCUUGUUCCGCAAUUCACUUCAUGAUAAAGUGGUACAAGAUAUAUGCCAUCUGUUUGAAAGAUCUGAAAUUACACUUGGACCCGAUGUCAUGAAUGCAGCGGGACAGUUUUCUAUAGCUGUGCUUGAGUGUAUUAGAGAUGCUAGUUAUAAGCUUCAAAGGUCUACUUCAAGUGGGAAAGAACUGUCCCCCAUUGUUAAUGAAAACAUGGCUGCAUUUUCCGGCUGUGUUCAAAACUGCAAUAAAAAUUGUGAAGCGAUUGUUGCCGAUGCUGCUGUUGAUUCUCAAGCAACUAAAAAGGUCAAAGAUCCUGAUGACAUCAGAGGGGUACACGAUGUUCCAAACGAACCGUCUGAUGCUGAAACCGUGGUUGUUAAUUCUGAUGGGGAACAGUUAUGCAAUCGAGGUAUUCCGUUUGAAAGGAAAACCUUGCCCCUGUAUGGGUUUUGAUGAAUGAUGACAACAUGGUUGAGAAACUAAUGAGUUACACUAAGUGUUUUAGGUGUAGUUCCUCGGAAGAGUUGGUUUAACUAGCAUCGACGACUCCUAAAAAUUGAAGUACAUGUAUUGGCUUGAAGUAUGAAGAACUCAGUAAUGAACAAUGAAAA
Brachypodium distachyon (stiff brome) is the source of this 2370-nucleotide RNA transcript. RefSeq lists it as uncharacterized. The transcript has 9 exons. Lineage: Eukaryota; Viridiplantae; Streptophyta; Magnoliopsida; Poales; Poaceae. The record is from RefSeq and is a predicted model, not a curated record.